This 460-nucleotide ribosomal RNA is filed under the name uncultured bacterium. Its description in RNAcentral is "partial 16S ribosomal RNA". It matches the Rfam family "Bacterial small subunit ribosomal RNA", at positions 338 to 795 of the family's 1533-position model. The record is from RNAcentral.
CCUACGGGGGGCAGCAGUGAGGAAUAUUGGUCAAUGGACGAGAGUCUGAACCAGCCAAGUAGCGUGAAGGAUGACUGCCCUAUGGGUUGUAAACUUCUUUUAUAUGGGAAUAAAAUGUUCCACGUGUGGGAUUUUGUAUGUACCAUAUGAAUAAGGAUCGGCUAACUCCGGGCCAGCAGCCGCGGUAAUACGGAGGAUCCGAGCGUUAUCCGGAUUUAUUGGGUUUAAAGGGAGCGUAGGUGGAUUGUUAAGUCAGUUGUGAAAGUUUGCGGCUCAACCGUAAAAUUGCAGUUGAAACUGGCAGUCUUGAGUACAGUAGAGGUAGGCGGAAUUCGUGGUGUAGCGGUGAAAUGCUUAGAUAUCACGAAGAACUCCGAUUGCGAAGGCAGUUCACUGGACUGCAACUGACACUGAGGCUCGAAAGUGUGGGUAUCAAACAGGAUUAGAUACCCGAGUAGUC